Long non-coding RNA from Mus musculus (house mouse), 1007 nucleotides. RefSeq annotates it as predicted gene 16191. Lineage: Eukaryota; Metazoa; Chordata; Mammalia; Rodentia; Muridae. The record is from RefSeq and is a predicted model, not a curated record. The transcript is spliced from 3 exons.
UUGCAAGGGGUCCGGCUCAAGGAUGCCGGAUCCCUUGAGUUCCAGUGGUGGCUCUGAUCUUCCCCCUAUCAGGGAACCCUGGAUGCUGGGGGUGGGGGGAAGGGUGUUUAUAAGCUAGACAAGGCUUUCUGGUGAUUCACACGCCACAUGCCAGCCACAGCAACUCUCCACCUCAGAGCUCUGACGGAUACUUGAAGCUACCUCAGCCUGAGAACCUGAACUUGGCCUUACUGAGAAAUGGCACUUGCUCAGACCUGCUGGGAAUUCAAGGGUCACAACAGUAGCCAGGGGACUUUCCAGCAAAUGGUUGUUCCAGAAAAAUCUCAGCAGCACCUGGCCUCUCACGAACACCAGCGCCACAAAAGGAGCCAGCACAUCUCCGACUUCCUGUGCAAGAUGCUGUGUGGAAAGACAGCGGUUUUUUCGUUAAGAUGCCAACUUGGGGCUGGCGAGAUGUCUCUGCAGGGAAAGGCGCUUGCCAGGAAGCCUAACGACCCGAGGUCGUGAGCUGGUGGGAGAGACCCAACUCCGCAAGUCAGCCUCUGACCUCCACAUUCAGAAACUCCCCGAGGCCAGGCUUUGGGUCCCUUUGAGAUCACGGGUCACACAAGGGUGGCACACAGCAGGUGCUCCUUCAUGAGAGAUGACUGGAUGAGCUGGUGACCAGAUCAAUUCCUGGGAAGCCGCCAGCAAGGCCAUAAGGAAUGUGGACUUGGUUCUGUACUAACUGAAAAACAAGGGAUUUUGACCUUUCUGGAGUUGAAUGCCUGUCCCUCCAACACAGCCUUGAGAAAAACCCCAGAGUACUCUGUAUAAAUCUCUGAAGCUCAGCUGCCUCCCCUGCUGUGGCCCUGCGGUAACUCACUGGGCUGCUGGGAACUUUCUCAGAGAGGAGCUUAUGUACCGGAAGCUGGCCUCCCUCCCCUCCCCGUGUAGUAAAGUCUGAAUUCCCAGUUAUUAUUUGUGGGAAGCCGCCCUCACAUUCGCCGUUGCAAGAUGGCGCUGAC